GGUGGUUCUUGGGUGACGUACCCUCGAAUUGGGCUCCCUCCUUUCUGAUUCCUGGUUCAUCACCUGAGAACUGCA
This is a non-coding RNA of Myotis davidii, 75 nucleotides long. Lineage: Eukaryota; Metazoa; Chordata; Mammalia; Chiroptera; Vespertilionidae. The record is from Rfam.